ACUUAUGGCCAUACUAGUCUGAAAGUGCCAGAUCUCAGAAGCCAUCCAUACUCGGGCCUGGUUAGUACUUGUAUUGGAGACCAACUAGGAACCUCAGGUGCCGUAAGCU
RNAcentral lists this ribosomal RNA (109 nucleotides) under Pelobates cultripes (western spadefoot toad). The record is from RNAcentral. Lineage: Eukaryota; Metazoa; Chordata; Amphibia; Anura; Pelobatidae.